Gossypium raimondii (Peruvian cotton) is the source of this 410-nucleotide long non-coding RNA. RefSeq lists it as uncharacterized. Lineage: Eukaryota; Viridiplantae; Streptophyta; Magnoliopsida; Malvales; Malvaceae. The transcript has 2 exons. The record is from RefSeq and is a predicted model, not a curated record.
GCUUCACUCAUCCUAUAAAUUUUAUCUAAUACAUAUUGUCCAAAAUGAAAGCAAUAUUUCUCAUAUUAUGCAUUCUCUUGGCUUCCAUUCUCGCGUUUCCCACUUCCACAAUGGCUCGAGAACUGGCUGAGAAGGAGGCAAUCCCAUCUCGAACUCACUGUCCACUAGAUCCUAAUCGGAGCUGUAUUCCAAAGAGUACUCCAGCUCCUAAGUGCCCAACUUACAGUCGAAACUGCCAUUAAUAUUAUGUUCUGGAAUAUUAUGUUUAAUAAAUUUGCCAACUUUUGUGUUUUAUUGGUAAAGGAAAUUAGAAUCUAAAGUUUCAUGUAUGGUUUGUGUGUUUGAUUGAUGUGAUUGUGAUGUUAUUUCUACUGCUUGAGAUAUGAAAAUAAUAAAGAAAAGCUUGCAUA